AAUAGCUAAAUGGAGAGUAUAACGUGCAUUAUGCAGUUAACAGUAUACUAGUAUUCUAUCAUGGUGAAUGAUUUAUCCAUUCAUCCAGCCAGGGACUGUUGUUUGAUGGUUCAUUUAAGCAUUUGCAUUUGUCUGCCUGUUGUAAUAUUUUUUAAAAUGUAUCUUUAACUUUAUAUCCGCACUAGUUCUUCUACAACAGUUAAGCAACUUUUAAAACAUCUUUAACUUUAUUUCAGCUCUACUUCAUAGACAACAUUUUUUUUAAGGCAACCUUCAUAACCUAGAUGGUGUAAAAUCGAUGUUUAAUUAGCACAAUGGCUUUUACACUUUUUUAUAACAGGUACAGCAGGCACAUUUUUCUGGAAUAACAGGAGAAAGAAGUGAAAGGAGAAGUGAGAGAAGGAAGGUGUGAGAUUUGGCUCGUGCUCUCACAGCUGUUUUUGAAGUGCUUUUUCUUCUCACAACUGGUAGUUUGAUCAUGGUGAAGAAAUGCAGUGCCAGAGAGAAUAAAUGGAGAAAUGUAGAUGUACACGAGAGACACCAGCUCACACACAAAAUGGAGAGGAGAAGUGAUAAUGAGAGAGUGAAGUUCAUUAGAGAGGGGAGGGAGAUAUGAGAGGACUGCGAAGACCAGAAAACUGGAACAGAUGAAGGAUCUGUGCUGUAGUCAUCCCACACAGAUAUGUAACCUAACUACACACACACACACAUUUUUACUAUCUAAAUAAGGACAUAUCGUAACUUUUGAACUAGUUUCCAGGUUUUUCUAAAUACAUUUACUCUGAUCAACUGCAAAUUCAGGUGGCUGGCAGAGGCUUCUGAUCGGUCUGAAAGCUGGUAACAUGAAAGAAGGAAAAGAUGGCUUGAAAGAACGCGAGAAUGAGGCAUCUGAGGACGUGUCUGAAUACAGGAAGUUAUUUUAGAAGAUCUGGGCGGUGGAGGAGCGCUUGUCUCCGUCUCAAAUGUGCACACUGAUAAAAAAGUGCAGCCAUUUGUAAGCUGAAUGUGCAAGGCUUCCUGUGUCCGCCGCUCCAGAGACCAAUGCAAAUCACAGUGUACCCCGCAAUCAUCUCUGCUGCUCAUUACCCAGAGACACACCUCUGAACGGAUGCUGAGCGCUUGUGACUGAAAGCUUGCGGCAGCUAGAGACAGAGGUUUGACAACAAAGAGCGCUUGUGACCCCAGAAGCCCUGAGCUCCUGUGGAACAGUCACAGUCCUGGUCAAAGUGAUGCACAGGCAAUAAAAGUGGCCAAAAAAGAUUCAAAAUAAAUGAAUGCAUGAAUUAGAAAUGAGUGAUAAUUAAUGGUUGUGCUUAAUGAGCUUCAGAGAGAAGCGGCGACCUAAGGUCAGAUCUGAGAGAAAUUAUGGGGAAAAGAACGAGAGAGCAGACGGAUAAUGGAUGACAGAACAAGCAUAAAAUAGUCAAGUGCUUUAAAUAAAAAAGAAGAGCAAUUGUUUGUCAUUCUGUCAGUCAUAUAAAUAUUAAACCAUAUGUUUCAUCUUUAUUCUCAACCUCUAAUUCUCAAGCUUUUUAAACAUGUGGUUUUCUAUUGCUCCUUUGGGAAGAGUUUGACAUGUAGUAUGUAGUCCUAAAUCAUGUUGCAAAUGCAACUGAAUAUGAAUUUAUAGCAGCUUUGUUAGCAGCA
Long non-coding RNA from Cyprinus carpio (common carp), 1647 nucleotides. RefSeq lists it as uncharacterized. The transcript has 4 exons. The record is from RefSeq and is a predicted model, not a curated record. NCBI's taxonomy places the organism in Eukaryota, Metazoa, Chordata, Actinopteri, Cypriniformes, Cyprinidae.